GUAAUAUCGAGAAACGACGUCUAAAGUUGCGCCAAGUUUACGCGCGCAGCUUUCUUACACAUGUUUUAAUUAGCAAAAGUUUGACCGUUAAAGUACGACUGCUUGUUACAUGACUGAUAACAGCCUACUAGAGAAAGAAUAUUUAGACAUCAGACCUGUAAAAAAAAUAGUGGUAUUACGCCUGAGACAAAAUAUUUCGUUCAUAAUCAGUUGUUUCCCCUUCGCUACUGUAUGUUUCCGGUUUCGGAUUUUAUCAGGGAAGCAUGUGAAGUUUACUUUUGUUUAACUACCUUUUGUUCAACGAUGAAGGGAUCUGAGACUUGUAAUACUGUUUACUGAUUUGAUAAUAUUCCUUGUUCCUUUGAUGGUUCAUUCCACUACAGCUGGUUCAUAUACCCUACACUAGCCAGGAAAUUGAUCUGUUUACUUUAAGAUCUGAAGAAAAUGUAACAUAUUUUGGAUGUGCUUUGAGGAAUCAGGUAGGCAAGUGUUUCCUCUUGUUUAUGAAAGCAGCUCAGUUGGUUAAGGAGCAGACAACUUGUGAGCAUGGUACAUCACUACCUGUAUUGGUAUUCCAUUUUGACAAUGUUGCUAGCUAGGAUAGAAAUAACAUCUUGCUGUGGUAUGGUCUGUGGAGAGUUUUACUAGGAUAUCACAGAUGGAUUGAAUAUUCAACAGUGAUCACAGACCAUGCAAAGUUUGAAUCUGACUUGCACUUUUGAAUUUAGAAGAAUCUGUGGAGGAGGGUGAAUGCUGAGACCUUUAAUAAUACAUGAUAUUGCUGACACAGUGUGUCAGUCAUAAAAGAAAGGUCAUAUCAUUGCACAGUUGGUCAACAAUGAUUUAAAUCCUGUCACAUUCUACCAGUGGAGAAAUAUCUUAUAACAAUAUUUUAAACUUUUGAAGAAGAUAACCAAGUAUUACCACUUUAUCAUGUCUGCAGAAACACCUGGAUUGUUAUUGUUAAAAGUGACAGUCCAGUUAAGACAGUUAACUUAUUAAAAUCUACUCCACCUUGCCAAACGAAUAUUAUUGACAUGGAAUGACACAAGCCUGACAAUGGUACCUGUAUGAUUUGUAUUUUAAGGGAUCUGCAGCAUAUAAUAUAAUGGUUAAAUAAUGUUCACUUUCUUCAGUAUUGUCAGUUAUAACUAGCCAGUGAAAAAAACAGAUUAUGAGGAAAGGGAUGACUGAAAUGUUUAUUCUUACAAUAACUACUUUUGUUACUUUUUUUGUUUUGUUAUCUUAAAGUUUUUUAUGUAAAAUUUUCAGAUUUCUUUCCUGAGUACUUAUACUUUCAAAUAUUUAACUUAUAUUAGAAAUACUUUUUUAAAAUAAGCUUUUGUUUUUAAGUAUUAUUGUAGGAAAAGGGAAUUUGAAACAUAUGUCGCCAUGGUAACACAAUUUUCUUAGAAAAUAUGGAAAGUUUUUAAUUAGCUGUACUUUCUAGUAUUCUACUUUAAAAUAAGCAUAAACAAUAAAAAAAAAAUCAAUAGUAAUAUAUGUUUCAUUUAUUUCAAAACAGCCAUUUAUUACCAGCAGGUAAAAGGCAAGUUAUGAAGAAACAAUGACAGAAAAUCAAAUGUCUUAUUCUUAUAGUUGUUACUCAUGUUACAAAUGCUGUCAUAAAACAAAACAUUUUAAUUUUUUUAACAUGGAAUUUUGAGAUAAUAUUCUUGAAUACAUACCACUUUAUAAUAUUCAAGUUAUCUGAAAUACUUUUCCAAAUUUAGCUCUUUUUAAAGUAUUAUUAUAGAAAAUAGAAUCGAAUGCAUAUGUUGCCAUGGUAACAUAAUUUAAUAAUGUUUUUAUAGAAAAUGUGAAGGACAUUACCCAGCUAGAUGUUUGCACUUUAUGUGAAUAUCUAAAUAUUCUUUGUAAAAGAAGAUUCAUUUAUUUAAAAAUAGCCAGUGAUUACCAAUAAGUGAAAACACAAACUGAAUAAACAACGACUGAAAUAGUUUAUUCUUGUGGUUAUUACCCGUGUUACGAAAUCUGUCAUAAAACCAAACAUUUUAUAUCUUGUCGCAUAAAAGUUUCAAAUUUUACUUUCGAAUACAUAUACUUCAAAAUAUUCAACUUAUAAGAAACAUUAUUUCAAAUUAAGCUUUUAUUUUUAAGUUCUAUUGUAGAAAAAGGAAUUUAAUGCAUAUGUUGCCAUGGUAACACAAUUUGAAUAAUGUUUUCAUAGAAAAUAUGAAAGAUUUUAAUUAGCUGUAUUUUUCUGUUUUAAGUAUGCAUCACAAGAAUAAAAUUUCAUAGUAAUAGAAGUUUAUUUUUUUCCAAAAUAGUCAUUUAUGACCAGCAUCUAAAAGACAAGUUAUGAAGAAACAAUGACAGAUCUAACUUAUUCUUAUAGUUAUUACCCAUGUUACAAAAACUUGUCAUAAAACCAAACAUUCUUAAUAUUUUCAUGUGAAAUUUUCAGAAUAUUUUUAUAAAUACAUAUGCCUUCUAAUAUUUUACUUUUAAAAGUCCUUACUUUAAGUGAACAUGUUGCUUUUUUAAGUUUUAUCAUAGAAAAGGGAAUUUAAUAUAUUUGUUGCCAUGGUAACACAAUUUGAGAAAUAUUUUUAUAGAAAUCGUUGUAGAUUUUAGUUGAUUAUCAUUUUGUGUAAUAAGGAGGGAUCUUAUAUAUAUCAUGCAAUUGUAACAGAAGAUAAAUUUAUUUCAGAAUUGUUAGCCAUUACCAGUAAGUGAGAAAUAAACUAGAAAGAAAGAAUAA
Mercenaria mercenaria is the source of this 2725-nucleotide long non-coding RNA. RefSeq lists it as uncharacterized. The record is from RefSeq and is a predicted model, not a curated record. Lineage: Eukaryota; Metazoa; Mollusca; Bivalvia; Venerida; Veneridae. The transcript has 4 exons.